Molecule: long non-coding RNA, 209 nt
Filed under: Elaeis guineensis (African oil palm)
Lineage: Eukaryota; Viridiplantae; Streptophyta; Magnoliopsida; Arecales; Arecaceae
Description: long non-coding RNA (EGUI_LNC025080)
Source: RNAcentral
ACAAUGGGCUGAGCUAGAGCAAGGCUUGGCUCAGCUGAUAUUCAGCUCGUUUAUACUCUAUUUGGAUCUAGUAGCUGGCUUCCAUCAAACUCAAUUCAUAUGUAUCCAAAUGCUGACCCUUAAAUGUCCCCCUUUUUCUGUCCUAAGCAAAACAGUGAUAAAGAUCACCACUUAAUCUCAGGUUAUUUUACAAUUUACAUGGCUACCCG